Molecule: ribosomal RNA, 450 nt
Filed under: uncultured bacterium
Lineage: Bacteria
Description: partial 16S ribosomal RNA
Rfam family: Bacterial small subunit ribosomal RNA
Source: RNAcentral
GUGGGGAAUCUUCCGCAAUGGACGAAAGUCUGACGGAGCAACGCCGCGUGAGUGAAGAAGGUUUUCGGAUCGUAAAGCUCUUUCGUUAGGGACGAACGUGCUCUUUGUGAAUAAUGAGGAGUAAUGACGGUACCUAAAUAAGAAGCCACGGCUAACUACGUGCCAGCAGCCGCGGUAAUACGUAGGUGGCAAGCGUUGUCCGGAAUUAUUGGGCGUAAAGCGCGCGCAGGCGGGAUAUCAAGUCUGUCUUAAAAGUGCGAGGCUCAACCUCGUGAGGGGACAGAAACUGGUAUUCUUGAGUGUCGGAGAGGAAAGUGGAAUUCCAAGUGUAGCGGUGAAAUGCGUAGAGAUUUGGAAGAACACCAGUGGCGAAGGCGACUUUCUGGACGAUGUCUGACGCUGAGGCACGAAAGCUAGGGGAGCGAACGGGAUUAGAUACCCUAGUAGUCC